GUCAACGUUCGUCUGCACUCGUCUGCAUCAACAGGAUCUGGAUUUGAGACUAAAUGAAGCACAGGUUUCUCCGUGUCGAGUAAAUCCCGUCAUCUCUCUCUGGGAAUGAUCGAGCCCUGAUGGAAAGACGGAGGGAAUCGCUGGACGGGAAGAGAAGCGAUCGUCUCUCACACCUGUCUGAGAUGCUUUACAUCCUUCCAGUGUAAAAUUCAGUAUCUAUAAAAAUAUUGAGAUU
This is a long non-coding RNA of Rhinichthys klamathensis goyatoka, 235 nucleotides long. RefSeq lists it as uncharacterized. The transcript has 2 exons. Lineage: Eukaryota; Metazoa; Chordata; Actinopteri; Cypriniformes; Leuciscidae. The record is from RefSeq and is a predicted model, not a curated record.